UUUCGCAAUGCCCGAAAGGGUGACGAAGCGACGCCGCGUGGGUGAGGAAGGCCUUCGGGUUGUAAAGCCCUGUCAGGAGUUAAGAAAUGUAAGUGCGCUAAUACCGCAUUUAUUUGACGAAGGCUCCAAAGGAAGUCACGGCUAACUCUGUGCCAGCAGCCGCGGUAAUACAGAGGUGGCAAGCGUUGUUCGGAAUUAUUGGGCGUAAAGAGCACGUAGGUGGGUUUGUAAGUCAGAUGUGAAAGCCUCCUGUUCAACGGGAGAAUUGCAUCUGAAACUACAGAUCUUGAGUGUAGGAGGGGAGAAUGGAACUUCUGGUGGAGCGGUGAAAUGCGUAGAUAUCAGAAGGAACGCCGGCGGCGAAAGCGAUUCUCUGGCCUAUUACUGACACUCAGUGUGCGAAAGCUAGGGUAGCAAACGGGAUUAGAUACCCCGGUAGUCCUAGCCGUAAACGAUGGGCACUAAGUAGAGGGGUUUU
RNAcentral lists this ribosomal RNA (478 nucleotides) under uncultured anaerobic ammonium-oxidizing bacterium. RNAcentral's name for it is "bacterial SSU rRNA". It matches the Rfam family "Bacterial small subunit ribosomal RNA", at positions 364 to 832 of the family's 1533-position model. The record is from RNAcentral.